This 23-nucleotide microRNA is filed under the name Monodelphis domestica (gray short-tailed opossum). RNAcentral's name for it is "Mdo-Mir-7371-P35_3p (mature (guide))". The record is from RNAcentral. Lineage: Eukaryota; Metazoa; Chordata; Mammalia; Didelphimorphia; Didelphidae.
AAGUGGUGUCAUGUACGAUUGUG